GGGUUCUAGUUUACUGAAUGGGUAGACGGAUUACGGAUAUGAAAUUUAUACCAAUGAAUUCUGUUUCACUUACUGAUAAUUGUACAAUAAUUUUUUAUUGGGGGCGGGCGUUACUUUUCAUGUAAUUGCAAUUUAAAAUAUGUCUUAUUUUUAAAAAUCGCCGCCAUUUUCCGCCAUUAUAUACCAUGAAACAACAAGAAACGACAGGAAUGACAACCGUUUUAUAAACGCAAGAAGGAGAAUCCUAACAGUGUUGCCAUAGUUAUAUAAAAUAUGUUUUCUUAUGAAAAUUACAAUUUUUCAAUUCUUAAAUAUGUCAUUUUACUUAUUCUGACGCAUUUUUAACACAAAAUGACUGCUUUAUUACAAGGGUCAGGUUAGUUCUGGUUAGGUUUCGUUACGUUAGGUUAGAUUACAUCAAGUUUAUUAAUAUUAUAGUGAUUUAUGAUUAUAUUUUAAUAAAUAAAUUCUGUGGGAUUCCCAGAAUACACUUUCAAGGUUGGAAUGAAAUUUUGUGUAUUUCAUGGUUAUGUACUGUCACUGAUUUCGGGAAACCAUGUUGCCAUGUGAAUGACAAAAGAUAAUUUCACAUGAAAACAUCGAUUUUUGUCCAUUUAAGCGUACCAUUGAUUUGGAAUAUUUAUGCAAACCUCUAAAUUUGGCAACUGUUUUUGAAAAAUUGGUAGAUGCAUGCAUUGACGCAUUUUUUAAACAGUUUAUUGUUAGUUUUUAGUUUGUUAGGUCGGUUGUUUGUGCUGCGCCCUGGAUUUGGGCGUUGUCUGUUGCAUCAUAUACAAAUUUGUGAAAGUGAAGUUAGUUUAUCGGGUGGGUUGUGAUUGCGCUCAGCGGUCAAAUACCUCCUGCGGUUCUCUCAAUAUAAUACCCGUAAGUUAGGUUUGGACCGAAGGGUUAGGCCUUCCUCCUUUCAGACCGCCUGCGCCCAAUUGCAAUCUGCCCAGUUUAUCAUUAAAUAAAGGUGAAGUGAGACUAAAUGGUGUGUAGGUGUUACGAAAGUAAAUUUAAGUACAAUUAAGGUGUGGCUUUAAUACCUAUAUUCACAAAGAAAAGGCCUCUUUCGAAGCUAGUAAACUGCAGGCAGAGGAAAUAAAUAUGUUGGUGGCAACUUUUAUUACAUUUAAAGCCACGAAUUUGGCUUUGGACUCUCAAAUUGCAUCGAUCUAUAGCUGUUUUGCUAAGUCCAUAAAAAAAUUGGCAUUUUCAAGGUCUACCCUUAGAGUAAAUUUUUACCAAAACUGGUUAUAUUCCUAUAAGUAGCAUAAAACCUUUAUUGUUUAAGUUAAUGCGCUGAUUCGCUGAUGAACUUCAAUAUUGUAAUACUCCAUUGUAUUUUAGAUUAUAUUUUUAUCUUGAAUAUAUCGCUUUUGUAUACUUCCCGGGCGAUUUUCUUCUCCAAUAUUAUCAAUAAACUCUAAAAAUGCUUUUACUUCUUCAUACAUUUUUGUUGUAAUUAGAAAAACAAAAAAUAUAUGUUGGAACUGAAUUUAAAAUAUUCAAAA
Long non-coding RNA from Diabrotica virgifera virgifera (western corn rootworm), 1517 nucleotides. RefSeq lists it as uncharacterized. The transcript is spliced from 2 exons. NCBI's taxonomy places the organism in Eukaryota, Metazoa, Arthropoda, Insecta, Coleoptera, Chrysomelidae. The record is from RefSeq and is a predicted model, not a curated record.